GUCUAUUUUUUAACCCUGUUAUGUUUUAUCUUUAUUUCAUUUCUCCGUCAACUCAUGUACCAUGACUUGAGUUGACCAACAAUUAAAGAAGACAUGCUCCACCUGUAAACCUCCACCUUCAACACCACCAGUAAGGUGGAGGUAGAGAAGAGAACCCUGUUGACGAAAAAAAUUGACCAACAAUUAAAGAAGACGACCUGCUCCAACUGCUGAUCUACUGGUUGUAACAGAUUGUGGAAAAGCAUCACCAGCAGCACUGGACCAAUCAGGAGAGAGAAGACACAGAGGACUGAAGGGACUCAGAAAAUCCUGCUGGAAAUCCCAAGAUGAAGUUUCCUGAUGCAACAGGGGGACACCUGAGGACACAGAAUAAAGAAGGACCAUGUGAAGCAGGUCCUUCAAUAACAAACCAAGCAUGAGUUGACCAACACUGACAGCAGGUUACUUUGUCCAUCUACUCAUCUACUGGUUGUAACAGAUGAUGGUGAAGGUUGAGGAGAUAAUGACUUGAUCAGAAACUGUGGCCGACAACUGCAAACGCGCAGCAAACAGCAAAACGAGCUGCAAACAGACUCAUGAAGAGGACGGUCAGAGUCGUCCAUAGCUUUCUUGACUCUUCUGAAGAAUCUUUCUUUGCGUCAUCUCCAGAGGUUCCACAGUCAUCUCCAGAACAGAACCAGAACCAAUCCAGCCUUCUUUAUCAGAUUGUUGAGCCUUUUGAGGUUCCUGGCUCUGAUGCUGCUGCACCAACAGAUGGUAGCAGAAGAGAUGACACUCUCAGCAGCAGACUUAAAGAUCUGCAGCAACUUGCUGCAAACCUUGAAGGAUCUUAGCUUCCUGGAGAAGUGCAGUCUGCUCUGUCUCUUUUUGUAGACGGCUUGUCCAUGUGGUUCCUGUCUUCUGUUGCGUCUCCAGUCCAGUCUGUGUUCCAGAUGAACACCGAGUCAAGAUUAGAUGAUUGUUCCCUCACCUGGCCACAAAGUGAUCCACCAGAUCUCUGUACUCAGCCUCUUGUCUUCCUCUGAUACACAACAACUGCAGAUUCGUCUGAGUAUUUCUGUAGAUGACAGAAGUCGGACUUGUGCUGGAAGUCUCAACAGUAGAGGGUGAAAAUGAAUGGUUGUCACAGAUGCAGGUGAUUGUUGAGGCCUCCACCUGUGUCUUCUGGAGUUUCUAACAGAGCAGAUCAGGCUGAAUUGUGUUCAAUGCACCUGGGAACCAAAGACCCUGAUCCUCACUGUGCUGCCUGCUUUGUCCAGAUGACAGUGGGUUUGUUGAAGCAGGUGUCUGAUCAACUCCAACUCCACGGCGAUAAGCAAACUGCAGGGGGUCCUGAUAUGUGAUCGUCUGCUUACUCAAGUGGGCCACCAGGAAUCUCUCCAGGACCUUCAGGAUGUGGGACGUCAGGGCAACAGGUCUACAGUCAUUAUGACUGAUGGGUGACUUUUCUUCGGUACCGGAACCAGACGGGAUGUCUUCCACAACAACGGAACCUCCUCUUGGGUCAGGCUAAGGUUGAAGUGAUGCUGCAGAAUCCCACAGAGGGAAUCUGGGACUGACAGCAUCUGGACCUGCAGCCUCGUUCCUGUUCAGUUUCUCCGGCUGCUUCUUCACCUGACUUCUAGAUACAGAAAAGUUGGAGGUGGAGGCAAAGGGAGCAGCAGCGUCUCCUGAUGUGGUUAAAGACAAACUUGUGGAAGCAGAAGAGUCCAUGACUGAGGUGGAAGAUGGAACAUCUGAGGUUUGACAGGAAAGCUGUGGGUCAGAGGAGGAUGAGAAAUCUGUUUGGCUGCAGACAGGAGAGGAAGAUGAUGAGCUUGUUCCUGGACUGAACCUGUUGAAGAAUGUGUUCAGCUCAUUUCCUCUGUCCAGAAACUAAUAUUGUUAAAAAAAAGUCAUGGUAGCAUGUUUUUAUGUAAUAAUGUGUAUGUAAUGUGUGGAAUGAAGAAGAUAUGCUGCAUAAUCUGAUGGAAUUACAGAAAAUCAUUGUGGCUCCUGCUCAGUGUAAAAACACACAUUUUGUUGGUUUCUGAAGAGUAAAAAUUGAACAAAUGUGUACAUUUAAAGAUUAAAUUUAUAUUUCACAGUCAUCACAAUGCUAAAGAAAAGUCUCACAACAGGGUGAAAAUCAUGGUGUUUAUUUACAAGACAGGAAGCAGGAGGAAGAUAUUAAAGAAUGUAAAAUAUUUUGCAGUGUCAGGUUAUUUCUAUGUAUUAUGAUGUAAUAUAAUACAUGUAUUUUUGGACUUAUUGUAUUCUGUUUUAUUUUUGUGUGUAACUUUUACUUGAUUUGUGAAAGCAUGGAAAGUUAUUAAGCUGAUCAUAGAGUAAAAUAACAUUAAGUUGUAAGCAAAUUCAAUAAAAGCUUUUUUUUCCGUCA
Molecule: long non-coding RNA, 2380 nt
Organism: Xiphophorus couchianus (Monterrey platyfish)
Lineage: Eukaryota; Metazoa; Chordata; Actinopteri; Cyprinodontiformes; Poeciliidae
Exons: 6
Source: RefSeq, a predicted model, not a curated record